UGCUAGACUCGGCCGGGGUGUUCGGCGUACCCUUAUACACCAAAACCGUCGUUAGUGGGGGCGACACUCGGAGGCGGCGUAACCAGCUCGCAAUCGAGCCAAAUGCUGUCAAUGAGAUUUCGUCCCUCGGGGUCGGAGGUGGCAACGAUACGCGAUCGGAGGAUCGCCUGUCCUGUCUUGAUCAUGGAAACCGGGCGAGGACCGGAAGGGAGCAGCCUCACCAUGGACUACCGACGCUCGUGGGGUUGCGGGAUCGAGAAGGUGUUUGGGCCACUCGAUUUCGGGUCUGAGCGCUCACUCCGGGGUGUCUAGUA
Molecule: signal recognition particle RNA, 314 nt
Filed under: Thermoplasmata archaeon
Lineage: Archaea; Methanobacteriati; Thermoplasmatota; Thermoplasmata
Description: signal recognition particle sRNA
Rfam family: Archaeal signal recognition particle RNA
Source: RNAcentral